RNAcentral lists this ribosomal RNA (544 nucleotides) under Microbacterium sp. RNAcentral's name for it is "bacterial SSU rRNA". It matches the Rfam family "Bacterial small subunit ribosomal RNA", at positions 841 to 1384 of the family's 1533-position model. Lineage: Bacteria; Bacillati; Actinomycetota; Actinomycetes; Micrococcales; Microbacteriaceae. The record is from RNAcentral.
CCGUGACGCAGCUAACGCAUUAAGUUCCCCGCCUGGGGAGUACGGCCGCAAGGCUAAAACUCAAAGGAAUUGACGGGGACCCGCACAAGCGGCGGAGCAUGCGGAUUAAUUCGAUGCAACGCGAAGAACCUUACCAAGGCUUGACAUACACCAGAACGGGCCAGAAAUGGUCAACUCUUUGGACACUGGUGAACAGGUGGUGCAUGGUUGUCGUCAGCUCGUGUCGUGAGAUGUUGGGUUAAGUCCCGCAACGAGCGCAACCCUCGUUCUAUGUUGCCAGCACGUAAUGGUGGGAACUCAUGGGAUACUGCCGGGGUCAACUCGGAGGAAGGUGGGGAUGACGUCAAAUCAUCAUGCCCCUUAUGUCUUGGGCUUCACGCAUGCUACAAUGGCCGGUACAAAGGGCUGCAAUACCGUGAGGUGGAGCGAAUCCCAAAAAGCCGGUCCCAGUUCGGAUUGAGGUCUGCAACUCGACCUCAUGAAGUCGGAGUCGCUAGUAAUCGCAGAUGAGCAACGCUGCGGUGAAUACGUUCCCGGGUCUUGU